AUUGAACGCUGGCGGCAGGCCUAACACAUGCCAGUCGAGCGGAGGAAGGGAGCUUGCUCCUGGAUUCAGCGGCGGACGGGUGAGUAAUGCCUAGGAAUCUGCCUGGUAGUGGGGGAUAACGUCCGGAAACGGGCGCUAAUACCGCAUACGUCCUGAGGGAGAAAGUGGGGGAUCUUCGGACCUCACGCUAUCAGAUGAGCCUAGGUCGGAUUAGCUAGUUGGUGGGGUAAAGGCCUACCAAGGCGACGAUCCGUAACUGGUCUGAGAGGAUGAUCAGUCACACUGGAACUGAGACACGGUCCAGACUCCUACGGGAGGCAGCAGUGGGGAAUAUUGGACAAUGGGCGAAAGCCUGAUCCAGCCAUGCCGCGUGUGUGAAGAAGGUCUUCGGAUUGUAAAGCACUUUAAGUUGGGAGGAAGGGCAGUAAGUUAAUACCUUGCUGUUUUGACGUUACCAACAGAAUAAGCACCGGCUAACUUCGUG
This 484-nucleotide ribosomal RNA is filed under the name uncultured bacterium. Its description in RNAcentral is "partial 16S ribosomal RNA". It matches the Rfam family "Bacterial small subunit ribosomal RNA", at positions 30 to 507 of the family's 1533-position model. The record is from RNAcentral.